AUGGCAGGAUCACACAAUGAUAUCAACGUGCUUCAGCGCUCGCCGGUGUUUGCUAAGCUUGCCAAAGGCAACAGCCCACCGGUGAAUGUUACCAUCAACGGCCACAACUACGACAAAGGAUACUACCUAGGUGACGGUAUCUAUCCUCAGUGGACCACUAUUGUGAAGACAAUCCCCAACCCUAUCGAAGAGAAGAGGAAAAGAUUUGCCCAAGAGCAAGAAAGUGCUAGGAAGGAUGUCAAGCGUGCCUUUGGUGUUUUGCAAUCUCGAUGGGGCAUCGUUCAGUAUCCUGCUAGGACUUGGAGCGCGAAGAAGCUGUGGAAGGUGAUGACUGCUUGUGUGAUCAUGCACAAUAUGAUCGUAGAAGAUGAGCGCCCGAAAUGUUUCUACGAUCAAGGGUUUCAGUUUCAGGGUGAGAAUGUUGUGCCUGAGCAUGGAGGAGCGGCAACGUUUGAAUAG
RNAcentral lists this ribosomal RNA (459 nucleotides) under Triticum aestivum (bread wheat). Its description in RNAcentral is "partial small subunit ribosomal RNA". Lineage: Eukaryota; Viridiplantae; Streptophyta; Magnoliopsida; Poales; Poaceae. The record is from RNAcentral.